CCUACGGGUGGCAGCAGUGGGGAAUAUUGGACAAUGGGGGCAACCCUGAUCCAGCCAUGCCGCGUGUGUGAAGAAGGCCCUCGGGGUGUAAAGCACUUUCAGUGAGGAAGAACGCCUGGUGGUUAAUACCCAUCAGGAAAGACAUCACUCACAGAAGAAGCACCGGCUAACUCCGUGCCAGCAGCCGCGGUAAUACGGAGGGUGCGAGCGUUAAUCGGAAUUACUGGGCGUAAAGCGCGCGUAGGUGGCUUGAUAAGCCGGUUGUGAAAGCCCCGGGCUCAACCUGGGAACGGCAUCCGGAACUGUCAAGCUAGAGUGCAGGAGAGGAAGGUAGAAUUCCCGGUGUAGCGGUGAAAUGCGUAGAGAUCGGGAGGAAUACCAGUGGCGAAGGCGGCCUUCUGGACUGACACUGACACUGAGGUGCGAAAGCGUGGGUAGCAAACAGGAUUAGAUACCCGGGUAGUC
RNAcentral lists this ribosomal RNA (465 nucleotides) under Vreelandella stevensii. RNAcentral's name for it is "partial 16S ribosomal RNA". It matches the Rfam family "Bacterial small subunit ribosomal RNA", at positions 338 to 795 of the family's 1533-position model. Lineage: Bacteria; Pseudomonadati; Pseudomonadota; Gammaproteobacteria; Oceanospirillales; Halomonadaceae. The record is from RNAcentral.